Long non-coding RNA from Brachypodium distachyon (stiff brome), 685 nucleotides. RefSeq lists it as uncharacterized. The record is from RefSeq and is a predicted model, not a curated record. NCBI's taxonomy places the organism in Eukaryota, Viridiplantae, Streptophyta, Magnoliopsida, Poales, Poaceae. The transcript is spliced from 2 exons.
GCGGGAACUCCAGUCCCCGGGAGAGCGCUCCGUGAGGCAUCACUGAGAGGAAGAGGACGAGCGCAAGCAGGCGGAGCCGCCCUGCAGCCUCCGCUGAACCGGUCUCUCUUCCACUCAACAUGUCGCCUCCAAUGCUUUAGAUCCCAUCCCCACGGGGCGCUUGCCGGAGAGGAUCUGGGGGCGGUCGAAGAGGUGGAGAAGCCGGCCAUGCAGCCCUGGUACAUGGGCCGCUCGUCCUCCUCCGCGCCUAUCGCCACCAUGAUCGAUCUUUCUCCUCUUUCUCUCUCUGUUGCUCGCCUUCCUUCCCUGCCCUCAUCCAUUGUUCUUGAUUUUUGAUCUGCCGGUUCAGAUGUGUAGUGCUUUCUCCUUUGUCCCUGCGUACAGAGGCAUUGUUGUUGGUUUUUGAUCUGUUGGUUUUUCUUUAAAUUGAGAAUACAUAUCUACGACGAGUACCAUGUGAUUUUUUAUUUUGGAUCCAUCAUGUACCAUGAUUUUGUGCUGUAAUUUUGGAGUACCAUCAUGUACCAUGUAAUUUUGAAUUUUUGUGCUGUGAUUUUUUAGUACCAUCAUGUACCUUGGGUACAUGACAAGGUACUUAUAUUUUAUGAAUGUUUGUGUUGUGAUUUUAUACUGAUACAUGAUGUACACAGUCUUGAUAUGUGAGGUACUAAAAAUUGUUAAGAUA